RNAcentral lists this ribosomal RNA (253 nucleotides) under uncultured bacterium. RNAcentral's name for it is "partial 16S ribosomal RNA". It matches the Rfam family "Bacterial small subunit ribosomal RNA", at positions 524 to 776 of the family's 1533-position model. The record is from RNAcentral.
UACGAAGGGGGCGAGCGUUGUUCGGAAUCACUGGGCGUAAAGGGCGCGUAGGCGGCCCUUCUUGUCGCGUGUGAAAGCCCCGGGCUCAACCUGGGAAUGGCGCGCGAGACGGGGGGGCUGGAGUUCGGGAGAGGAGCGUGGAAUUCCCAGUGUAGAGGUGAAAUUCGUAGAUAUUGGGAAGAACACCGGUGGCGAAGGCGGCGCUCUGGACCGAGACUGACGCUGAGGCACGAAAGCUAGGGGAGCGAACGGG